GCACCCGUAGUCAUUUGAUCUAUUACCGCGAUUAAAUACAUACAUACAGUUUAUAUAGUUAAUCUAUGAUCCUGGUUUAAAUUCAUUUCCGUAUUUAUCUGACAUUGGCAACAAUCAACAAACGUUGACGCACAUACGGCAUAUAACGGAUCUCAGGGAAGCGGUAAAUUGAGCAAAAUGACACUAGAAGAAUAUAAAGAAAUUGUAGGAUUAUGUGCCAUGUAUAUCACAAUGUUACAAAUGCUAGCCGGAACAGUUAUAUGUAAAAACAUAUAUCAGAAAAGUACAUCUAAAGGUGUUGAUCCAAUACCUUUUCUUGGUGGUAUAGGUCUAUGUAUAUUGAUGCUUCGAUAUGCAUGGAUGUUGGGUGAUCCUGCAAUGAUAAAUGUUAAUGUAUUUGGUGUUGUAACAAAUGCAGCAUAUAUGACAGUAUAUUAUUAUUAUGCUCCAAACAUAAAGGAUGUACUCAAUCUAAUAUGGAAAGCAACAAUUUUUGUUACAGUCUUUCUUGUAUAUGCACAAAUAGAACAUCCAUCAAAUGUUGAAUUUAGGUUCGGCAUAGUGGUUACUGCACUGCUCCUCCUUUUAAUUGCAGCUCCUCUUAUACAUCUUAGGGAAAUUAUAAAAACAAAGAAUACAGAAAUACUUCCAUUUCCACUUAUCCUCAUGGGUACUUUAGUUUCUUUCAACUGGCUAUUAUAUGGUCUUAUCAUUGAUAAUGUUUUCAUUAUCUUCCAGAACGCAGUUGGUUUUACACUUAAUGUAACUCAACUAUCUCUUUUUGUGAUAUUUCCAUCUAAAAAACCACAGGAUGGAUUGUUGAGCGAACAAAAAAAGGAAGAUUAAAAUGAUUUUCUAAAGAAGACAUAUUUCUUAUAAAAGAGGGCGUUUAAAAAUGGCCAAUUUUAGCCGUGAACGGACACCUUUAAAAUCUAUGCAGUUACCAUGUUAGAAAUCCAUAAAUUCAUGAGAGAAAGUUUAUCCAGAAAAGCUUGAGGAAUCUCCCAAAAAUAAUAAAGACCUGGAUCGGAUCGGAAUCAAAACCGAAAAGCAUAUGAAAACCGGUAUUUUUGUCAGACCGAAACCGUAAACUAUACCGAAAUUUUAUAAAGAACCGAAAACAGCCCGGAACCGAAAUCGGAACCGUUACAUUUUUUCGGUUCACUAUUUCGGUACUUAUUUUGUGAUUUUAAAAAAUCGUUUUUUUUUUCUUUUAUAAUAAAGUUUUUAUUUCUCACGAAAAAACAGGACAUUGAUUAAUUAUCGCGCCAAAUAGAAAAUAAACUUCAAGUAUAUGAUAUUGAACAGAAGAGGAUUAGUAGAAGAAGUAAUAUAUUACAAUUUUGGAAUAAAUAGAAGUAAUAUAUCAUAAUUUGGGAUAAAUAGAAAGACAAUCAUCCUGAAUUGUACAAAUUAUUUUAACGGAAUGUAUAUAUUCUGAGAAAGUUUGGAGAAUAUCGAAAUAUUCUUCGAAUAUACUCAGAAUCUAUAUAAUUUAUUUAGCGUAUUUAGCGGGAACGGCGCGGGUAGGCAAUGUUUUCAACACGUUCCCGUCCAUUCUUAAAUUCAUUAUACCUAUGCUUCACCCGAGCCCAUGAAAAGGUUUUUUCCCCGAACUGUGGGAAUAAACGGCGCCGAAUUUCAGCAGCAUUUAC
Molecule: RNA transcript, 1655 nt
Organism: Dinoponera quadriceps
Lineage: Eukaryota; Metazoa; Arthropoda; Insecta; Hymenoptera; Formicidae
Gene name: sugar transporter SWEET1-like
Exons: 7
Source: RefSeq, a predicted model, not a curated record